GACGAACGCUGGCGGCGUGCUUAACACAUGCAAGUCGAACGGUGAAGCGCCUUCCUUUUUGGUGGGUGUGGAUGAGUGGCGAACGGGUGAGUAACACGUGAGUAACCUGCCCCCUUCUUCUGGAUAACCGCAUGAAAGUGUGGCUAAUACGGGAUAUUCUGGGUCUGUCGCAUGAUGGGUCUGGGAAAGAUAUUGUUUCGGUGGGGGAUGGGCUCGCGGCCUAUCAGCUUGUUGGUGGGGUGAUGGCCUACCAAGGCGGUGACGGGUAGCCGGCCUGAGAGGGUGGACGGUCACACUGGGACUGAGACACGGCCCGGACUCCUACGGGAGGCAGCAGUGGGGAAUAUUGCACAAUGGGCGCAAGCCUGAUGCAGCGACGCCGCGUGAGGGAUGGAGGCCUGCGGGUUGUGAACCUCUUUCGCCAGUGAAGCAGGCCUGCCUCGUUUGUGGGUGGGUUGACGGUAGCUGGAUAAGAAGCGCCGGCUAACUACGUG
RNAcentral lists this ribosomal RNA (494 nucleotides) under uncultured bacterium. RNAcentral's name for it is "partial 16S ribosomal RNA". It matches the Rfam family "Bacterial small subunit ribosomal RNA", at positions 28 to 507 of the family's 1533-position model. The record is from RNAcentral.